UGCUGGAUCAUUACCCAAGUGAUACCAAUUCACCACCUACCUGCUGUCCAGUUGAGUCAGUGUGGGCAACACCACAUGCCUCCGUUUGUUGUUGACGGACACAUGCCCGCUAUGUUUGGGCUGGCACAUUGAUCAACCAAUGUAUGGACAGCKCCCCUGUGGGCACAUGAGUGUUGGGGUGUAACCGAUGUUGGUGGCYCAAUGGGUGACUCGACGAUUGCUGUUGUCGUCGGGUCGCUGCACCAACGGAGGUGGCACGCCCACAGGGCACCSUAACGGCUGUGCUGGCGUCUGUGCGUCGUUGAGCGGUUGUUGCGCCUUGCGCGGAUAUGCUGACAUGGWGUGUAGGYUWCUAUUCCAUGUCGUASGUGCCGUACCCAGCGGCAUGUCUGCGCUUGUGUGCUACGUCCGUGGCCGYGAUGAGWCGACGUGUUAGGACCCGUGCCUGGCAUUGGCACGCGGUUUAAKCCYUGAUGAGUGCCUGCAGGCACCGCCAGCUUUUUCUCAUUUUUAUAAAUUUUUUAAUGCAAUUUUAUUGCUAAAAUAUUCUAGUCUUAUCGGUGGAUCACUCGGCUCGUGGAUCGAUGAAGAACGCAGCCAACUGCGAUAAUUAGUGUGAACUGCAGAAACCUUGAACACAGAACUUUCGAAUGCACAUUGCGCCAUUGGAGUGACAUCCAUUGGCACGCCUGGUUCAGGGUCGUAACCAAAAAAUGCACUGCAUGUGCGUGUUUUAUUUGCUAAGAUCACGCUUCGACGUGUUCUUGCAUACCAUUGAAUGCUACGCUGUGUAGUGUUGGACGUGCUGGCGCGAAAAUGUGUUGUCUUUCGCGCUUUACAGACCGUAAUUUAGGCACGCCCUUCGUUCACAUGCGAUAGCUGAAUGCCUCGCCAAUAGGCAUUCGCAAUUGAACAUUUCGACCUGAACUCAGACGUGAACACCCGCUGAACUUAAGCAUAUCAGUAAGCGGAGGAAAAGAAACUAACGAGGAUUCCCGUAGUAACGGCGAG
Molecule: ribosomal RNA, 1011 nt
Filed under: Globodera pallida
Lineage: Eukaryota; Metazoa; Nematoda; Chromadorea; Rhabditida; Heteroderidae
Description: eukaryotic LSU rRNA
Rfam family: 5.8S ribosomal RNA (bases 550-703)
Source: RNAcentral